GAAUUCGAUUUCCGGCGUUGAAUCCAAUUGUGGAACCGGGGCCGCUGCAGACCUGGGUUGAUUCUGCCGGACCGACUGCUAUCAGAGUGGGACUAAGCCAUGCGAGUCAACAUAGCAAUAUGUGGCAUACGGCUCAGUAACACGUAGUCAACAUGCCCAGGGGACGUGGAUAACCUCGGGAAACUGAGGAUAAACCGCGAUAAGUCACUACUUCUGGAAUGGGUAAUGACUCAAAUCUAUAUGGCCCCUGGAUUGGACUGCGGCCGAUCAGGCUGUUGGUGAGGUAAUGGCCCACCAAACCUGUAACCGGUACGGGCUCUGAGAGGAGGAGCCCGGAGAUGGGCACUGAGACAAGGGCCCAGGCCCUAUGGGGCGCAGCAGGCGCGAAACCUCUGCAAUAGGCGAAAGCUUGACAGGGUUACUCUGAGUGAUUUCCGUUAAGGAAAUCUUUUGGCACCUCUAAAAAUGGUGCAGAAUAAGGGGUGGGCAAGUCUGGUGUCAGCCGCCGCGGUAAUACCAGCACCCCGAGUGGUCGGGACGUUUAUUGGGCCUAAAGCAUCCGUAGCCGGUUCUACAAGUCUUCCGUUAAAUCCAACUGCUUAACAGGUGGGCUGCGGAAGAUACUAUAGAGCUAGGAGGCGGGAGAGGCAAGCGGUACUCGAUGGGUAGGGGUAAAAUCCGUUGAUCCAUUGAAGACCACCAGUGGCGAAGGCGGCUUGCCAGAACGCGCUCGACGGUGAGGGAUGAAAGCUGGGGGAGCAAACCGGAUUAGAUACCCGGGUAGUCCCAGCUGUAAACGAUGCAGACUCGGUGAUGAGUUGGCUAUAUGCCAACUCAGUGCCGCAGGGAAGCCGUUAAGUUUGCCGCCUGGGGAGUACGGUCGCAAGACUGAAACUUAAAGGAAUUGGCGGGGGAGC
Molecule: ribosomal RNA, 917 nt
Filed under: uncultured archaeon
Lineage: Archaea
Description: partial 16S ribosomal RNA
Rfam family: Archaeal small subunit ribosomal RNA
Source: RNAcentral